CGAUGCACCUUUCCAUUGGCUAAACCUUUGUUGUUUCCAAUCGGCUCUGUUGUAAGCCUCAACGAAAAGCCGAUUCUAAUUAGUUGUCCACCUACAGCUCUAUUUAAGUUUAACUUCAAAUCUUUUGAUUGUUAUGUGAAUAGUGUGUGAUAUGAGUUGUUUUUAUUUUACCAUCAAAAUAUAUAUUGAAUAGAUGGACUAAAUAUGCAAAAGAGAUUUUUUUUGUUGAGAAACAUGGGAUCGAGAAGGAGAAUUUGACCACUCAAGCUGCACGUAUCUCACGAAAGGCGACAUCUGUUGCAUUGAAAUGUUCUUUGUCGAAAGAGCUUCUUGAUGAUUUAGAGAAUGCCAUACAUAAACUGGACUUGGAUGCAAAUAAUUCUACCUCCAGUUUCGGCUUACUGUUCUACAAAUAACAGGCAAGAUAUCAUUUAGAGUUCCACGUGUAGUAAAAGGACCAAAGAAAAAAAGAUCCGCCACAUCCCUUGAAAAGAGAAAGGGGAAGAAAAAUAAAAGUGCCAACAAAGACAAAGGUGCUGAUCCAAAACAAACAAUGGUAAGACACCUACUUUGUAUCAUUUAUUAUAUCAUUUGUAUACUGUACUUACUUACAUGCAAAGUUAAUGUACGAUUUUAUAUUAAGUGACAUGUAGGGUCUUGAUGUCAAUACAAUUGAAGCUAAUACCAUGUCUAAUGAUAUGUAUGGUCAACCUUCAACUACGGCAGUUCCAUCAAUGCCGGGCUUUAAUAUGCACAUGAAUUCUUUUAUGAUGGAUGCUCUUGGUAUACAAGGAGAAUAUACAAGUUUCUUAUUUGGAGUUGAUAAAGAUGCUGCGUCAGCUAUUAGGAAAUUAUAUUUUGAUGGAGUGCUAGAUAAUGAAAAUAUAUGACUAGUCCCUUUGACUUUUAUUUGCUAUAAGGAAUCAAACAUUUCAGAUUUUAGAUGAGAGAUGCAAGUUUCAUGUUUAAAUUUCCCUUUUAUUUUAUUUGUAAUACGACAGAAUCAUUUAGAUUGAAGUUGAUGGAAUGGGACUGUCCGUUUCUUUACUACUAAAUCUCUGUCACUAUGAUGGUUCAGUUUUAGUGUGAGCUGAUGUAUUUGGACUGCUUGUAUGUUUCUUCUCGGCAACUUAAGUUAUAUAAUCUGUCACUAUGAUGGUUCAGUUUUAGUGUGAGCUGAUAUAUUUGGACUGCUUGUAUGUUUCUUCUCGGCAACUUAAGUUACAUAAUCUAAAGGACAGCAGCAAAGCUGUGGCAACAAAGCAAGGCCAAAGCUACGUACAGAUAACUAAAAAGGCAACAAACAACUUAAUUAGGUGUCUAGCAACAAACUACCUCGGGCCUAAUGAAAAAGACGGAAGCUAUCUACUACCAGGCCAGCCACAUGAACUGCAGCAAGCAGUGUUCGAGUUGGGAGCGGCUCCUAUCCCGCCUGAUGUGCCGGUACCAUCUGUUCAUGAUCUUGCCGAUCAGGUCGCAGAUGUGCUUGACUUCUUGUGGUACUGCAUGAUGAUAUUAGUCUCCAUGGCAUUGUAAGGGUUCUUCCCUGUACAGAGUAGUGCAAGAACUUGUCUUUGAAGUGAAUGUCUCACUUCAUCGUCAUGAAGAGGAACAUAAACGCUUGAAGCUAACUGACACAUUUUGGAGCUUCGUUUGA
Panicum hallii is the source of this 1657-nucleotide long non-coding RNA. RefSeq lists it as uncharacterized. The transcript has 2 exons. Lineage: Eukaryota; Viridiplantae; Streptophyta; Magnoliopsida; Poales; Poaceae. The record is from RefSeq and is a predicted model, not a curated record.